Molecule: ribosomal RNA, 674 nt
Filed under: uncultured bacterium
Lineage: Bacteria
Description: bacterial SSU rRNA
Rfam family: Bacterial small subunit ribosomal RNA
Source: RNAcentral
AUGCUUAACACAUGCAAGUCGAACGGUAACAUUUCUAGCUUGCUAGAAGAUGACGAGUGGCGGACGGGUGAGUAAUGCUUGGGAACUUGCCUUUGUGAGGGGGAUAACAGUUGGAAACGACUGCUAAUACCGCAUAAUGUCUUCGGACCAAACGGGGCUUAGGCUCCGGCGCAAAGAGAGGCCCAAGUGAGAUUAGCUAGUUGGUAAGGUAACGGCUUACCAAGGCGACGAUCUCUAGCUGUUCUGAGAGGAAGAUCAGCCACACUGGGACUGAGACACGGCCCAGACUCCUACGGGAGGCAGCAGUGGGGAAUAUUGCACAAUGGGGGAAACCCUGAUGCAGCCAUGCCGCGUGUGUGAAGAAGGCCUUCGGGUUGUAAAGCACUUUCAGUUGUGAGGAAAAGUUAGUAGUUAAUACCUGCUAGCCGUGACGUUAACAACAGAAGAAGCACCGGCUAACUCCGUGCCAGCAGCCGCGGUAAUACGGAGGGUGCGAGCGUUAAUCGGAAUUACUGGGCGUAAAGCGCACGCAGGCGGUUUGUUAAGCUAGAUGUGAAAGCCCCGGGCUCAACCUGGGAACUGCAUUUAAAACUGGCGAGCUAGAGUUGAGUAGAGGGGAGUGGAAUUUCAGGUGUAGCGGUGAAAUGCGUAGAGAUCGGAAGGAACACCAGUGG